Molecule: ribosomal RNA, 485 nt
Filed under: uncultured bacterium
Lineage: Bacteria
Description: partial 16S ribosomal RNA
Rfam family: Bacterial small subunit ribosomal RNA
Source: RNAcentral
AGUGAACGCUGGCGGCGUGCUUAACACAUGCAAGUUGAACGAGAACGGAAUAUAGCUUACUAUAUUUGUCAGCUAAGUGGCGCACGGGUGAGUAAUGUAUAGAUAACCUGCCCUUAAGAAAGGAAUAACAGUUGGAAACGACUGCUAAUGCCCUAUAUGCCUUUAAUACAUAAGUAUGCAAGGGAAACGCUUUAGUGCUUAAGGAUGGGUCUGUAUGGUAUCAGCUUAUUGGUGAGGUAAUGGCUCACCAAGGCUAUGACGCCUAACUGGUUUGAGAGGAUGAUCAGUCACACUGGAACUGAGACACGGUCCAGACUCCUACGGGAGGCAGCAGUGGGGAAUAUUGCACAAUGGACGAAAGUCUGAUGCAGCAACGCCGCGUGGAGGAUGACACAUUUCGGUGCGUAAACUCCUUUUAUAUAGGAAGAUAAUGACGGUACUAUAUGAAUAAGCACCGGCUAACUCCGUGCCAGCCGCCGCGGUAA